RNAcentral lists this ribosomal RNA (460 nucleotides) under uncultured bacterium. Its description in RNAcentral is "partial 16S ribosomal RNA". It matches the Rfam family "Bacterial small subunit ribosomal RNA", at positions 338 to 795 of the family's 1533-position model. The record is from RNAcentral.
CCUACGGGGGGCUGCAGUGAGGAAUAUUGGUCAAUGGGCGCGAGCCUGAACCAGCCAAGUCGCGUGAGGGAAGACGGUCCUAUGGAUUGUAAACCUCUUUUGUCGGGGAGCAAAAGACGCCACGCGUGGCGUUCCGAGAGUACCCGAUCAAAAAGCAUCGGCUAACUCAGUGCCAGCAGCCGCGGUAAUACGGAGGAUGCGAGCGUUAUCCGGAUUUACUGGGUGUAAAGGGCGUGUAGGCGGGCAGGCAAGCCAGAAGUGAAAUCUGGGGGCUUAACCGCCAAACUGCUUUUGAAACUGGGUGUCUUGAGUGAAGAAGAGGCAGGCGGAAUUCCCAGUGUAGCGGUGAAAUGCGUAGAUAUUGGGAGGAACACCAGUGGCGAAGGCGGCCUGCUGGACAUUAACUGACGCUGAGGCGCGAAAGCGUGGGGAGCGAACAGGAUUAGAUACCCUUGUAGUC